GGAGAUGGAGCUCAGUGGUAGAGCCCUUGCCUAGCAGGCACAAGGCCCUGGGUUCAAUCCCCAGCACCACAA
Molecule: non-coding RNA, 72 nt
Organism: Ictidomys tridecemlineatus (thirteen-lined ground squirrel)
Lineage: Eukaryota; Metazoa; Chordata; Mammalia; Rodentia; Sciuridae
Source: Rfam